RNAcentral lists this ribosomal RNA (486 nucleotides) under uncultured bacterium. RNAcentral's name for it is "partial 16S ribosomal RNA". It matches the Rfam family "Bacterial small subunit ribosomal RNA", at positions 46 to 523 of the family's 1533-position model. The record is from RNAcentral.
GCCUAACACAUGCAAGUCGAGCGGUAGCAUGAGUAGUAGCAAUACUACUUGAUGACGAGCGGCGGACGGGUGAGGAACACGUAGGAACUUGCCUUUUAGAGGGGGAUAACUAAGGGAAACUUUAGCUAAUACCGCGUAAUCUCGAGAGAGUAAAGCUGCCCGCAAGGGUGGCGCUAAAAGAGAGGCCUGCGUCCGAUUAGCUAGUUGGUGAGGUAAUGGCUCACCAAGGCGAUGAUCGGUAACUGGUCUGAGAGGACGACCAGUCCGACUGGGACUGAGACACGGCCCGGACUCCUACGGGAGGCAGGAGUGGGGAAUAUUGGACAAUGGGGGCAACCCUGAUCCAGCGAUGCCGCGUGAGUGAAGAAGGCCCUCGGGUCGUAAAGCUCUUUAGGUUGGGAAGAAGGACGUUAGGUUAAUACCCUGAUGUUUUGACGGUACCGACAGAAUAAGCACCGGCAAACUCUGUGCCAGCCGCCGCAGUAA